AGAGCUCUGUAGAACAGCUUGCAUGACCCAAUCCCUGUAAAGAUCAAGAAUUGCAUCGAGCUCAGGGCAAUGAUAGGUUUUAGGAGAGGCUAAGAAAGCGUUUAUGACUUGAAGAGGCUACAAAGAACAAAGGUUUUGACCUUGGUAACGGUGAGUUAUUUUAUUAAUGUUUUUAUGCCAACAACUUUAGCUUUUGUACACUAGCAUUGUUUUCUUAAGGCAAAACAAUUGAAUUAGGGAGUGGUUUAUCCGCAUUAGAAUGACGAUGAUAAAAACCAGGAGAUAAAACUAGGAGAUAAAUAUCUUCUAAGAUGGGAGUUUUUCUUCUCUCAAAACCAGGAGUUAAAAACCUUUAUUUUAACACCCCUGUCCAAAUCUGAGAGGAUACAAGAAUCUGAAUCUGACUCUGAUGAAUGAACAUGAGUAGAAUUCACCUGACCCUCUUCUAGACACCAUUAAUUUCGAAAUAAAGAAGUUAGUAUUUCAUUUGGUAAAUAUAUAUUGGCAAAGUGUAGUAUUUCAAUAGACAAUUUACAGAUGUAGCCCCAUCACAUGCCAGUGGUGAAGGGUCGAAUUGAUGAACCUGUCAACUUGUAUAAAAUUAGUUAAGUAUAUAAGUAAAAAAAGUUUAUUGUAGAGUAAAAUUGUUAAUCUGAAUGUUUAUGCCACUUUGAUUUGAUUUUAACGUAGGGGAAUCUUCUGAUUUUGCGGGGAGUAAACCACUAAAGGUUCAUUGUUUGAUUUUCCAUUAUAUGUGGCACAGAAAUUUCUGUUUGAAACGCUGUAUUGUUUAUGGUGCGAGCGGUGGCCGCUCGCUUGUGCUGCAGCAUCGCUACUACAGAGAGUCCAUGCCUUUCGGUAGCAAAGCCAAGGCGUACAUCGACUCCAAGUCCCUAGCGUAUCUCACGGCCAAGCAGGCGCUUGCUUACUUCGCUGUGCUGCUCACUGAUCUCAAGAGGAACCUAUCAGCAGAGGGCAGCCCCGUUGUGCUCUUUGGGGACUCAUACGGUGGAAUGCUAGCUGCUUGGAUGAGACUCAAAAUCCCCAUAUUGCUAUUGGGGCUCUCGCAUCAUCAGCUCUGAUCCUGCAGUUUGAGGACAUUGUUCCUUCUACUAUAUUCUAUGAUCUCGUAUCUGAUAAUUUUAGGAGGGAAAGUUUAAGCUGUUUUCUUACAAUAAAAGACUCCUGGAAAGAAUUAGAUGACCAAGCAAACGAGCAAGAUGGUCUUCUGAAACUAAGUAAAAUGUUCCACCUUUGCCA
Zea mays is the source of this 1260-nucleotide long non-coding RNA. RefSeq lists it as uncharacterized. NCBI's taxonomy places the organism in Eukaryota, Viridiplantae, Streptophyta, Magnoliopsida, Poales, Poaceae. The transcript has 4 exons. The record is from RefSeq and is a predicted model, not a curated record.